UUUGAAUAAAAAAAAAAUUAAAAACCAAUCAAUCGUGGGCCGUCACGUGUCAGUGGGAUUCGCGAACAGUGCAAAAAACCGGCGAACAUCGAUUCUUAUUCUGGCAUUUCUGCCACUGAUUUUUUUCUUCCUGUGUGUCUCUCCACCCUUAAAAAACCCACUAAAACCCCAUUAAAAACCCCGAUAAUCCUGCCCUUAUCCUUUCCCGCAAACUUGUAUUUUUUUGGCAAACUCCGACGAGUGCCGACUUAUUUUUCUCUUUGUUCACACUUUGUCACCUUUUUUGGUCAAUAAAAAACGAUUUUGAAAUCAUCCACAAUUAGGGCUGGCCAAAAAACACGAUUCCAAAGAACAAAAUCAAAUCCGAUUCAAAAAAAUAGUACCGAACCCAAACCUAAACUGGUUCAAAAUUUUAGUAUCUAGAAAACUGGAGCCGAAUCCGAGGCGAACCGAAAUAUUUCAGGUUUCAUAAUAGAUCCGAAUCAGAAAUAUAUAUAUAUUACUUAUUUUUAGAUUAAAUAUCCAAAAAAUAACCAGAAUAUAUAAGAGAUUUUGAAGUUAUCCAAAAUAAUUGAAAAUAUAUACAAAUAAUCUAAAUGAAAUAUCUAAAUA
Molecule: long non-coding RNA, 612 nt
Filed under: Brassica napus (rape)
Lineage: Eukaryota; Viridiplantae; Streptophyta; Magnoliopsida; Brassicales; Brassicaceae
Description: long non-coding RNA (BNAP_LNC025349)
Source: RNAcentral